AUUGAACGCUGGCGGCAGGCCUAACACAUGCAAGUCGAACGGUAACAGGAAGCAGCUUGCUGCUUCGCUGACGAGUGGCGGACGGGUGAGUAAUGUCUGGGAAGCUGCCUGAUGGAGGGGAUAACUACUGGAAACGGUAGCUAAUACCGCAUAAUGUCGCAAGACCAAAAGAGGGGGACCUUCGGGCCUCUUGCCAUCGGAUGUGCCCAGAUGGGAUUAGCUUGUUAGUGGGGUAACGGCUCACCAAGGCGACGAUCCCUAGCUGGUCUGAGAGGAUGACCAGCCACACUGGAACUGAGACACGGUCCAGACUCCUACGGGAGGCAGCAGUGGGGAAUAUGCACAAUGGGCGCAAGCCUGAUGCAGCCAUGCCGCGUGUAUGAAGAAGGCCUUC
Molecule: ribosomal RNA, 394 nt
Filed under: uncultured bacterium
Lineage: Bacteria
Description: bacterial SSU rRNA
Rfam family: Bacterial small subunit ribosomal RNA
Source: RNAcentral